RNAcentral lists this ribosomal RNA (460 nucleotides) under uncultured bacterium. RNAcentral's name for it is "partial 16S ribosomal RNA". It matches the Rfam family "Bacterial small subunit ribosomal RNA", at positions 338 to 795 of the family's 1533-position model. The record is from RNAcentral.
CCUACGGGAGGCAGCAGUGAGGAAUAUUGGUCAAUGGACGCGAGUCUGAACCAGCCAAGUCGCGUGAAGGAUGACUGCCCUCUGGGUUGUAAACUUCUUUUAUAUGGGAAUAAAAUGUUCCACGUGUGGGAUUUUGUAUGUACCAUAUGAAUAAGGAUCGGCUAACUCCGUGCCAGCAGCCGCGGUAAUACGGAGGAUCCGAGCGUUAUCCGGAUUUAUUGGGUUUAAAGGAAGCGUAGGUGGAUUGUUAAGUCAGUUGUGAAAGUUUGCGGCUCAACCGUAAAAUUGCAGUUGAAACUGGCAGUCUUGAGUACAGUAGAGGUGGGCGGAAUUCGUGGUGUAGCGGUGAAAUGCUUAGAUAUCACGUAGAACUCCGAUGGCGAAGGCAGUUCACUGGACUGCAACUGACACUGAGGCGCGAAAGUGUGGGGAUCAAACAGGAUUAGAUACCCGAGUAGUC